ACUCCUACGGGAGGCAGCAGUGGGGAAUAUUGCACAAUGGGCGCAAGCCUGAUGCAGCCAUGCCGCGUGUAUGAAGAAGGCCUUCGGGUUGUAAAGUACUUUCAGCAGUGAGGAAGGCGGGUACGUUAAUAGCGUAUUCGUUUGACGUUAGCUGCAGAAGAAGCACCGGCUAACUCCGUGCCAGCAGCCGCGGUAAUACGGAGGGUGCGAGCGUUAAUCGGAAUUACUGGGCGUAAAGCGCAUGCAGGUGGUUUGUUAAGUCAGAUGUGAAAGCCCGGGGCUCAACCUCGGAAUUGCAUUUGAAACUGGCAGACUAGAGUACUGUAGAGGGGGUAGAAUUUCAGGUGUAGCGGUGAAAUGCGUAGAGAUCUGAAGGAAUACCGGUGGCGAAGGCGGCCCCUGGACAGAUACUGACACUCAGAUGCGAAAGCGUGGGAGCAAACAGGAUUAGAUACCCCUGGUAACACAGAG
This 471-nucleotide ribosomal RNA is filed under the name uncultured bacterium. RNAcentral's name for it is "bacterial SSU rRNA". It matches the Rfam family "Bacterial small subunit ribosomal RNA", at positions 335 to 799 of the family's 1533-position model. The record is from RNAcentral.